GCUGGGUGUGGUGGUGCAUACCUGUAAUCCCAGCUACUCAGGAGGCUGAGGCAGGAGAAUCGCUUGAACCCGGGAGGUGGAGGUUGCAGUGAGCCAAGAGUGUACCACUGUACUCCAGCCUGGGGGACAGAGCGAGACUCUGUCUCAA
Macaca fascicularis (crab-eating macaque) is the source of this 148-nucleotide unclassified non-coding RNA. It matches the Rfam family "Metazoan signal recognition particle RNA". From Rfam's summary of the family: The signal recognition particle (SRP) is a universally conserved ribonucleoprotein. It is involved in the co-translational targeting of proteins to membranes. The eukaryotic SRP consists of a 300-nucleotide 7S RNA and six proteins: SRPs 72, 68, 54, 19, 14, and 9. The record is from Ensembl. Lineage: Eukaryota; Metazoa; Chordata; Mammalia; Primates; Cercopithecidae.